This 200-nucleotide long non-coding RNA is filed under the name Prunus persica (peach). Its description in RNAcentral is "long non-coding RNA (PPER_LNC006132)". The record is from RNAcentral. Lineage: Eukaryota; Viridiplantae; Streptophyta; Magnoliopsida; Rosales; Rosaceae.
UUGGCCCCUUGGGAUGCUAUGUAAUCAUUCUCUAGAGUUUGAGUUAUGGGAUCAUCAUAAAGAGGAUUCCAUAGGAAAUAAUUGUACAAGCGGGUUGAGUUUAGAGUGGAUAACUCGGGAAUAAUCAUCCCCAUCAUGUCUUGGGAUUUGGAACGAGUCAAUGGUCCCAUGUAGGACCUCGAUUUAUCUUGAGGUUUUGG